AACAGUUGGAAACGACUGCUAAGACUGGAUAGGAGACAAGAGGGCAUCUUCUUGUUUUUAAAAGACCUAGCAAUAGGUAUGCUUAGGGAGGAGCUUGCGUCACAUUAGUUAGUUGGUGGGGUAAAGGCCUACCAAGACUAUGAUGUGUAGCCGGGCUGAGAGGUUGAACGGCCACAUUGGGACUGAGACACGGCCCAAACUCCUACGGGAGGCAGCAGUAGGGAAUUUUCGGCAAUGGAGGAAACUCUGACCGAGCAACGCCGCGUGAACGAUGAAGUAUUUCGGUACGUAAAGUUCUUUUAUUAGGGAAGAAUAAAUGAUGGAAAAAUCAUUCUGACGGUACCUAAUGAAUAAGCCCCGGCUAACUAUGUGCCAGCAGCCGCGGUAAUACAUAGGGGGCAAGCGUUAUCCGGAAUUAUUGGGCGUAAAGGGUGCGUAGGCGGUUAAAUAAGUUUAUGGUCUAAGUGCAAUGCUCAACAUUGUGAUGCUAUAAAAACUGUUUAGCUAGAGUAAGAUAGAGGCAAGUGGAAUUCCAUGUGUAGUGGUAAAAUGCGUAAAUAUAUGGAGGAACACCAGUAGCGAAGGCGGCUUGCUGGGUCUUUACUGACGCUGAGGCACGAAAGCGUGGGGAGCAAACAGGAUUAGAUACCCUGGUAGUCCACGCCGUAAACGAUGAGUACUAAACGUUGGGUAAAACCAGUGUUGAAGUUAACACAUUAAGUACUCCGCCUGAGUAGUACGUACGCAAGUAUGAAACUUAAAGGAAUUGACGGGACUCCGCACAAGCGGUGGAUCAUGUUGUUUAAUUCGAAGGUACCCGAAAAACCUCACCAGGUCUUGACAUGCUUCUGCAAAGCUGUAGAAACACAGUGGAGGUUAUCAGUUGCACAGGUGGUGCAUGGUUGUCGUCAGCUCGUGUCGUGAGAUGUUGGGUUAAGUCCCGCAACGAGCGCAACCCUUAUUGUUAGUUACCAGCACGUAAUGGUGGGGACUUUAGCAAGACUGCCAGUGAUAAAUUGGAGGAAGGUGGGGACGACGUCAAAUCAUCAUGCCCCUUAUGACCUGGGCUACAAACGUGAUACAAUGGCUGUUACAAAGGGUAGCUGAAGCGCAAGUUUUUGGCGAAUCUCAAAAAAACAGUCUCAGUUCGGAUUGAAGUCUGCAACUCGACUUCAUGAAGUUGGAAUCGCUAGUAAUCGCGAAUCAGCAUGUCGCGGUGAAUACGUUCUCGGGGUUUGUACACACCGCCCGUCA
Molecule: ribosomal RNA, 1254 nt
Filed under: Candidatus Phytoplasma asteris
Lineage: Bacteria; Bacillati; Mycoplasmatota; Mollicutes; Acholeplasmatales; Acholeplasmataceae
Also listed under: 1 other name
Description: partial 16S ribosomal RNA
Rfam family: Bacterial small subunit ribosomal RNA
Source: RNAcentral